GACGGGGCCCGCACAAGCGGCGGAGCAUGCGGAUUAAUUCGAUGCAACGCGAAGAACCUUACCAAGGCUUGACAUACACCGGUAACGCCCAGAGAUGGGUGCCCCUUUGUGGUCGGUGGACAGGUGGUGCAUGGUUGUCGCCAGCUCGUGUCGUGAGAUGUUGGGUUAAGUCCCGCAACGAGCGCAACCCUCGUCCUAUGUUGCCAGCGGGUCAUGCCGGGGACUCAUGGGAGACUGCCGGGGUCAACUCGGAGGAAGGUGGGGAUGACGUCAAAUCAUCAUGCCCCUUAUGUCUUGGGCUUCACGCAUGCUACAAUGGCCGGUACAAAGGGCUGCGAUACCGCGAGGUGGAGCGAAUCCCAGAAAGCCGGUCUCAGUUCGGAUUGGGGUCUGCAACUCGACCCCAUGAAGUCGGAGUCGCUAGUAAUCGCAGAUCAGCAACGCUGCGGUGAAUACGUUCCCGGGCCUU
Molecule: ribosomal RNA, 469 nt
Filed under: uncultured Curtobacterium sp.
Lineage: Bacteria; Bacillati; Actinomycetota; Actinomycetes; Micrococcales; Microbacteriaceae
Description: bacterial SSU rRNA
Rfam family: Bacterial small subunit ribosomal RNA
Source: RNAcentral